GGGUAAACCGGAGAUCAAAACCCUAUUUCAUUUUGAGUGAGGCGUCUGGCAAAUAUGGCUGACUCCUUCCGCUGAUUUCUCUUGAUUGAAAUGGUCUCUCUCCCUCUCUCUCCCUCUCUCUUUCAAAUUUGGCGAUUUCAUCACACAUGUGAUUGUGCUGAGGUUUGGUAUAAUAUCCUCUGAAUAACCUCUGUACGCAGCGCUGCUUACGUCUUACGUACGCAAAUUUUUCUCUGCUUCAAGGGUGCUUUAGCGAUCGUAAUGCUGUUAAAAUUUUUCUUUUCUUCUUGUUGCAAUGGUUGUGGAACCGCUUGGACGUCCUGUGCAUCUGCAGGCAACUUCUGCAUUUCUCUUUGUUAUGAUGAUUAAGAAAUUAGAGGGUCAUCUUCGGGAUGGAGCAGAGUUGAAUGUGAUGAUGAUUGAGUUCUACAUUGGAUGUGGUCUUGUUCCCGUCUAUGGUGGUUUUCUCUUGCCAUGACAACGGAGUAGUUUGGAUGACCUAUGCUUUGCAGGUGAUCUUGUUUCAGUCCAUGGUGCUUCAGAGAUACCUGAUUUUCUCGUGCUGUGGCAGAGCAGCUUGGACGACCAAUGUUUUUGCUGGUAAAUGUUGAGUCAAUACAUCAUUUAUAGAGAACGUGUGGAUAUUUCAUUGAGUAUCCUUUACAUCCUGUGCAUCUGUGAUAUAGAAACGAUGGUUGCUUCUGCUUGCAGAUUGAACAAAGGUGAAUCUGAGUCUCCAAUUACACAUUUUAUUUUCUUCCAUUUUUUUUAAGAUCUUCAGGUAACAAAGGGAGGCUCUUCUGGUAUUGGAUUUGAGCUGGAUUUAACCUAAAUCCUGGGAAACAGCUGAAAAAUCAACUUUAAACCGCAAAAGCUAAAGUCCCACUUCUCUUUUAUUUUGUCUUUGAAUCUCUGAUUCGGUAUGCCCGGUCGGUCAACAUAUUUAUGUUAUAUGCCAUACUUUAUGUUGUGGCUACAAGAUGGAGCUCUGAACUUCAAUGUCGUGUAAGUAGAUCUUUAAAGAGGAAUUAGACAAUGCUACUCUUUGAAGAAAACUAUUUGAUAAGUUUUUCUUACCAUUAUUAUGUAACAGUUUGAACUGUAAUCCAUUGAGAUUUUUUGUUUUCGUUUAUUCCUGAAUUUAUUUAACUUCCAAUCAAUCUGCUUUAAAGUAUGUUGUUUUCUGCAUUGUUUAGCACAACAUGAUUUGGGUUCAAAUCAAUUGCAAAGCUUGACCUUCAAUCAGCGAUUCUCAAAUACCAGAGGUUAUCCCUCUCAUAGUGAUAUGGGAUCAGAUCAGUUUUAUAGGACUUGAACUUUAGCAUGCAGCUCCCGAUUAUUAGAGGAAGACUUCUGCAAUUUUGUGCAAUCUUUCAAUCUCUGUCACGUUGACUGAAAAAUGGGUGGAUCUUCUUCGUGAUGGAACAGAGGUUUUUGAUGGCCGGAACUUGAAGAAUUAUCCCCUUAUUAUUUGGAGUGGUCUUAUUUUGUGCAGAUUGGACAAAAUGGAUUUGGAGGCAUUUUUCUACAAAUGAACAAAAUGUGGGACUUCAUGGGGAUCUCUGAUUUUCCUAAGCAAU
Molecule: long non-coding RNA, 1580 nt
Organism: Phalaenopsis equestris
Lineage: Eukaryota; Viridiplantae; Streptophyta; Magnoliopsida; Asparagales; Orchidaceae
Exons: 7
Source: RefSeq, a predicted model, not a curated record